GAGAUUGUUGUGAAAGGCUUAACAAAGUGGAUCAGAUUGAAGGACGUCUUACAUAUCCCAAAGAUGAAGAAUAACCUCCUCUUGAUGAGUAUACUUGUUUCACAUGGUUGUAAAGUACAAUUUGAUAAGAAUGGAUAUUUUGUAAAGACAUUGAAAGGAGAUCAUAUUGCACAGGGCUUUAGAGAUGGCAACCUCUACUUCAUUAAGU
Molecule: long non-coding RNA, 208 nt
Filed under: Physcomitrium patens
Lineage: Eukaryota; Viridiplantae; Streptophyta; Bryopsida; Funariales; Funariaceae
Description: long non-coding RNA (PPAT_LNC003951)
Source: RNAcentral